ACCAAUUGAAUGGUUUGAGGCAAUGCAGAUCAAAACCGCAGCAAAUCCCCAUGGCCCAGCCUGGGUUGGGGCAGAGCUGGCGGAAAGUCUCGGCAUUUAAAGAUGCUAGUAAGCAUUUUGCAUUAGGAACUGCGCAGGGCCUACUUAGAAAUGGCAACCCGCUUGACUCCUUCCUCACUGCAGUCCAGUGACGUUAAACCCAAGCAACGGUGGGAGGUGUGGACCGGAGCCCGGGCAUUCCCCACUAUGCCUCUUUUUUUAACAGCCUUUUCAAGCCCUGUUCCUGCUGGCAACAUCCCAGGCAACAGGAAGGCACUCGACAUGGAAGGCCACUCCACCCGUCACAAGAGGUAGGCCUGGGAACUGGCUGGUGUCUAUCAUGUACCCAACUCCUUCAUCAUCCCAGCGUCGAUAGCCAGCCCUGUAGUUUACAUUUAUGCAUCCCCUUGUGAAAUUUGGAAAGCAGAACUUCGGCAUUAAGCUAGAGCAACAGGAAAGUGAAGCUGCCUUAUUUGUGUUCAUUGCCUGAAUGGAAAAGGAAAUUAAAGACGCGGCUCUGCGCUGGGGAGGCUCGUUCAGCUCGGUCCCAGAGAGCACAGAAUUACACCAGCAAGCUACUGACC
Long non-coding RNA from Alligator mississippiensis (American alligator), 623 nucleotides. RefSeq lists it as uncharacterized. The transcript is spliced from 3 exons. The record is from RefSeq and is a predicted model, not a curated record. Lineage: Eukaryota; Metazoa; Chordata; Crocodylia; Alligatoridae.